GAGCGGAAACGAGUUAUCUGAACCUUCGGGGGACGAUAACGGCGUCGAGCGGCGGACGGGUGAGUAAUGCCUAGGAAAUUGCCCUGAUGUGGGGGAUAACCAUUGGAAACGAUGGCUAAUACCGCAUAAUGCCUACGGGCCAAAGAGGGGGACCUUCGGGCCUCUCGCGUCAGGAUAUGCCUAGGUGGGAUUAGCUAGUUGGUGAGGUAAGGGCUCACCAAGGCGACGAUCCCUAGCUGGUCUGAGAGGAUGAUC
This 255-nucleotide ribosomal RNA is filed under the name Vibrio parahaemolyticus. RNAcentral's name for it is "partial 16S ribosomal RNA". It matches the Rfam family "Bacterial small subunit ribosomal RNA", at positions 64 to 305 of the family's 1533-position model. The record is from RNAcentral. Lineage: Bacteria; Pseudomonadati; Pseudomonadota; Gammaproteobacteria; Vibrionales; Vibrionaceae.